This 207-nucleotide unclassified non-coding RNA is filed under the name Pseudomonas sp. NFACC02. RNAcentral describes it as "Pseudomonas sRNA P29". Lineage: Bacteria; Pseudomonadati; Pseudomonadota; Gammaproteobacteria; Pseudomonadales; Pseudomonadaceae. The record is from RNAcentral.
AAGCUACUGGGGGAGCCGAAGCUCCCCCAAAGUGCGUGCUCUUAUUUUUAUUGUCUGUUGGGCUUUUUAUUUUUGUUGAGCGCCCAAUUCACGGCUUUUCGCCUGUGAAACCUCCCAAUCGGGAGUCAAGAGCAAACGGAUUGCUUUGGUCGCUGUGCUGCAGUAAUCAAUCGAUCCAACCAGUUCAGGCGCUACCUUAGGGUAGUU